GGAGGUCCAGGGUGCAGAGGCCAGGCGGGGCCUCGGGGCCCAGCGAAGCCCUGCAGUCGAAGGGCGCCUGCUCCGGCCUCAGGCUGCUGCAGUGUGGGGGUGCAGCUAGAAGCAGCACGGGCAGGUGCUCCAUGCCCUGGGCCGGGCAGGUGGACGGCUGGGGCUGCAGACAUAGUGGCCUGCCCUCCCCAGCUCACCGGCCCCCUGUCGCCUGCUGCAGGCCCUCAACACCAUUUACGAGCUGCUGUACACCCAGGAGUACAGGGGCACGGUCCGCUGGGCCUUCGCAGGGGUGCUCAUGGGCCUGCUCACGCAGCUGCACUACCUGCUGGAGAUGGGCAUGGUGGAGGGCAUGUCAGACUACCAGGAGGACAUCCUGGACGACAAGCCCCUCGGGCCCUGCAGGACCUGCCUGGAAGCGCUGAAGGGCCUCUUCUGGACCACGAACUACUGGGAGGUGUUUGCCCACGUCAAGCUGCUCAACGGCUGGGAGUGCCUGGAGUGCCUGGAGACCUACCCCCAGGGAGUGACCCUCUUGGCCAGAGCUAUGUCCCACUAUGACUGUGAGGUCAAGGCCAUCCUGGGGCAAGCCAUCAUCUUUCUGAAGAACAGUGAGGAGCGAGACAACCUUGUGGCUAUCCUCAUCAUCUCAGAGGUCAGUUUCUCCCAGCCACCCUGACCUGCUCCUUACAUCAAGGAUAAAAAAGACACUGUCCUCUGAUAAAAGAUACCCUACUUGGGUCUGAUACACCAGAUCUGCUUCCUGCCUGAAAGUGCUUCCUUAUGUUUAACUCCAGUGUCUCAUGCUGUGGCGCUGACUUUACCUGGCAGUUGCAGGUGACAGGUAGAUUGAUGGCGCCAACCCUGUUCAGUUUCUCAGCAGCCCGGAUGUCUUCCAGCAUGUGAAUCAGAGGUCCAUGGUCAACUUCAUGAACCUGAACCUGAAAAACCCCAACCCGCUGGUGCGGGCCAUGAGCCUGCAGGCCCUCAGCAGCACCCUCAUGCACCCCAAGAAGAUGGCCCUGCUCCAGAGCCGGCUGCUGGAGCUGCUGGACAGCUUCCUGCAGCCCGAGCCCAACGACCCCCUGGGGCUGAUGCAGAUCCUGGGUGACAUCCUGCACCGCCUGGGCGACCAGGGCGUCGGCGCCGUCAUCCUCAAGAUCGCCCAGCACCUGCGGCUCUUCUUCGAGGACGUAAGUGCAGAGGUGCGAGGGUGCGCCAUCUUCCUGUUCGGGGAUGUCAUCCACAGUGGUGGCAAGAAGUUCCGGCAGGCGCUCAAGACCUUUGCCUUCCAGGCCCUGGUGCCCCUGCUCUUCCACCUGGCAGACUCCUGCCCUGAAGUGGUCAUGAAGACCAAGCUCACCUUCCUGCGCUGUGCCAUCUUGCUAAAGUGGGAAUUCCGGAAGGAGCUGUUCAGCAAGUUGGCCUGGGGCCGAGGACUGGGUGCCGAGAAUGAUGUUUUUAUCUACAUGGCCCUGACCUACCUGCACAGCCCCCACAGGAACCUGAAGCUGGCCGCCAUGAGGUUCAUCGGGGGAAUGCUGCAGGACUACUUUGCUGACCUCUGCUUCUACCUGAAGAAGGGUGACAUAAAAACCCUCAAGAAAAGUGAGCCACACCCCAUGCCCCAGGACUGGGCAGCACAGGGCCUCGGGUGGCCGACUGGGACCCCUGGGGACACAGCUUCAGAGUCAGACACAGGGUCUCUGCCACAGGCUUGAAGACCCUCAGGGAGGACCCGGACUCGAUGUGCCGCAGGUUCUACCUGAACUUCAUGGGAGACGUCAUGGAACUGUCCCACUAUGUGACCUGACCACAGGCCUCAGCCGCCACCAGGCUCGCCCCGUCCUGGUCCUUGUUGAGUUCUCUCUGUAUUAAAUGCUGACAGCAGGUUCGGGCCUCAGGCUUUGCAGGCCCCAUGUCCCAGGCAUUGCAGGUCCUGGGCUGGGCCAGACUGUCCCUCCACGGUCGCCA
RNAcentral lists this long non-coding RNA (1974 nucleotides) under Ictidomys tridecemlineatus (thirteen-lined ground squirrel). RNAcentral describes it as "lncRNA (ENSSTOG00000020446.2)". Lineage: Eukaryota; Metazoa; Chordata; Mammalia; Rodentia; Sciuridae. The record is from RNAcentral.